UUGAUAAGCUCCAUUACACUCUUCUCCUGGCUGGAAAACUAACUUCACAGUUCCCUUCAAAUAACAACAUAUACAAGUAAUCCUGGUCAGUCCCCUUCCCAGGCUUUCCUUCAAGGUUUUUAAUACGGCGUCUAUUAGGGAGAGAUUUCCACAUCUUUAUAAAGAAUGCUUCGUUCUCUUCUCCAACCAACCUAGAAUCUCACAGAUUAUCAGACCUUAGAGCAAGGAUAGAAAGCAAUAAGAGAGAGUACCUGAAGAGGAAGGGCAUCCAUGUCUGCUCUAAGAGCAAAAACAGGUCUAGAAGAAGAAGAAGAAGAAGAAGAAGAAGAAGAAGAAGAAGAAGAAGAAGAAGAAGCCCCUUU
Molecule: non-coding RNA, 362 nt
Organism: Cucurbita pepo subsp. pepo (vegetable marrow)
Lineage: Eukaryota; Viridiplantae; Streptophyta; Magnoliopsida; Cucurbitales; Cucurbitaceae
Source: RefSeq, a predicted model, not a curated record